GUGGAUUAGUGGCGAACGGGUGAGUAACACGUGAGUAACCUGCCCUUGACUCUGGGAUAAGCACUGGAAACGGUGUCUAAUACCGGAUAUUUCAACUGACCGCAUGGUCUGGUUGUGGAAAGAAUUUUGGUCAAGGAUGGACUCGCGGCCUAUCAGGUAGUUGGUGAGGUAAUGGCUCACCAAGCCUACGACGGGUAGCCGGCCUGAGAGGGUGACCGGCCACACUGGGACUGAGACACGGCCCAGACUCCUACGGGAGGCAGCAGUGGGGAAUAUUGCACAAUGGGCGAAAGCCUGAUGCAGCAACGCCGCGUGAGGGACGACGGCCUUCGGGUUGUAAACCUCUUUUAGUAGGGAAGAAGCGAAAGUGACGGUACCUGCAGAAAAAGCACCGGCUAACUACGUGCCAGCAGCCGCGGUAAUACGUAGGGUGCAAGCGUUGUCCGGAAUUAUUGGGCGUAAAGAGCUCGUAGGCGGUUUGUCGCGUCUGCUGUGAAAACUGGAGGCUCAACCUUCACCUGCAGUGGGUACGGGCAGACUAGAGUGCGGUAGGGGAGAUUGGAAUUCCUGGUGUAGCGGUGGAAUGCGCAGAUAUCAGGAGGAACACCGAUGGCGAA
This 617-nucleotide ribosomal RNA is filed under the name Subtercola sp. 190-2. Its description in RNAcentral is "SSU rRNA". It matches the Rfam family "Bacterial small subunit ribosomal RNA", at positions 87 to 719 of the family's 1533-position model. Lineage: Bacteria; Bacillati; Actinomycetota; Actinomycetes; Micrococcales; Microbacteriaceae. The record is from RNAcentral.